GACGAACGCUGGCGGUGUGCUUAACACAUGCAAGUCGAACGGUAAGGCCCUUUCGGGGGUACACGAGUGGCGAACGGGUGAGUAACACGUGAUUAACCUGCCCUCAUCUCUGGGAUAACAGUCGGAAACGGUUGCUAAUACUGGAUAUGAGCUUGCAAGGCAUCUUGUGGGUUGGAAAGAUUUUUUUUGGUUGGGGAUGGACUCGCGGCCUAUCAGCUUGUUGGUGAGGUAGUGGCUCACCAAGGCUUCGUCGGGUAGCCGGCCUGAGAGGGCGACCGGCCACAUUGGGACUGAGAUACGGCCCAAACUCCUACGGGAGGCAGCAGUGGGGAAUAUUGCACAAUGGACGGAAGUCUGAUGCAGCAACGCCGCGUGCGGGAUGACGGCCUUCGGGUUGUAAACCGCUUUCAAUUGUGACGAAGCUUUUUUGUGACGGUAGCAGUAGAAGAAGCACCGGCUAACUACGUG
This 468-nucleotide ribosomal RNA is filed under the name uncultured bacterium. RNAcentral describes it as "partial 16S ribosomal RNA". It matches the Rfam family "Bacterial small subunit ribosomal RNA", at positions 28 to 507 of the family's 1533-position model. The record is from RNAcentral.